Molecule: ribosomal RNA, 115 nt
Filed under: Valenciennea strigata (blueband goby)
Lineage: Eukaryota; Metazoa; Chordata; Actinopteri; Gobiiformes; Gobiidae
Description: partial 16S rRNA
Source: RNAcentral
GCCCCAAUAGCUAGCCCAACUUAAAAACACAACAACCCAUAUUAAUAACCCCACAACACCUACCCCUAAAUAAGUAAACCAUUUUUCCGCCUAAGUAUCUGCGACAGAAAAGGAC